ACGUAUCGCGCGUACGGAUAUUGGGCGUAAGAGCUCGUAGGCGGUUUGUCGCGUCUGCUGUGAAAGACCGGGGCUCAACUCCGGUUCUGCAGUGGGUACGGGCAGACUAGAGUGCAGUAGGGGAGACUGGAAUUCCUGGUGUAGCGGUGAAAUGCGCAGAUAUCAGGAGGAACACCGAUGGCGAAGGCAGGUCUCUGGGCUGUAACUGACGCUGAGGAGCGAAAGCAUGGGGAGCGAACAGGAUUAGAUACCCUGGUAGUCCAUGCCGUAAACGUUGGGCACUAGGUGUGGGGGACAUUCCACGUUUUCCGCGCCGUAGCUAACGCAUUAAGUGCCCCGCCUGGGGAGUACGGCCGCAAGGCUAAAACUCAAAGGAAUUGACGGGGGCCCGCACAAGCGGCGGAGCAUGCGGAUUAAUUCGAUGCAACGCGAAGAACCUUACCAAGGCUUGACAUGAACCGGAAAGACCUGGAAACAGGUGCCCCGCUUGCGGUCGGUUUACAGGUGGUGCAUGGUUGUCGUCAGCUCGUGUCGUGAGAUGUUGGGUUAAGUCCCGCAACGAGCGCAACCCUCGUUCUAUGUUGCCAGCGCGUUAUGGCGGGGACUCAUAGGAGACUGCCGGGGUCAACUCGGAGGAAGGUGGGGACGACGUCAAAUCAUCAUGCCCCUUAUGUCUUGGGCUUCACGCAUGCUACAAUGGCCGGUACAAAGGGUUGCGAUACUGUGAGGUGGAGCUAAUCCCAAAAAGCCGGUCUCAGUUCGGAUUGGGGUCUGCAACUCGACCCCAUGAAGUCGGAGUCGCUAGUAAUCGCAGAUCAGCAACGCUGCGGUGAAUACGUUCCCGGGCCUUGUACACACCGCCCGUCAAGUCACGAAAGUUGGUAACACCCGAAGCCGGUGGCCUAACCCUUGUGGGGGGAGCCGUCGAAAGGUGGGACCGGCGAUUGGGACUAAGUCGUACAACAAGGUAAGCAA
RNAcentral lists this ribosomal RNA (975 nucleotides) under Paenarthrobacter nitroguajacolicus. RNAcentral describes it as "bacterial SSU rRNA". It matches the Rfam family "Bacterial small subunit ribosomal RNA", at positions 529 to 1503 of the family's 1533-position model. Lineage: Bacteria; Bacillati; Actinomycetota; Actinomycetes; Micrococcales; Micrococcaceae. The record is from RNAcentral.